CCUACGGGUGGCUGCAGUGGGGAAUAUUGGACAAUGGGCGAAAGCCUGAUCCAGCCAUGCCGCGUGUGUGAAGAAGGCCUUCGGGUUGUAAAGCACUUUCAGUGGGGAAGAAAGCCUUGGGGCUAAUACCCUCGAGGAAGGACAUCACCCACAGAAGAAGCACCGGCUAACUCCGUGCCAGCAGCCGCGGUAAUACGGAGGGUGCGAGCGUUAAUCGGAAUUACUGGGCGUAAAGCGCGCGUAGGCGGUCUGAUAAGCCGGUUGUGAAAGCCCCGGGCUCAACCUGGGAACGGCAUCCGGAACUGUCAGGCUAGAGUGCAGGAGAGGAAGGUAGAAUUCCCGGUGUAGCGGUGAAAUGCGUAGAGAUCGGGAGGAAUACCAGUGGCGAAGGCGGCCUUCUGGACUGAAACUGACGCUGAGGUGCGAAAGCGUGGGUAGCAAACAGGAUUAGAUACCCCUGUAGUC
This 465-nucleotide ribosomal RNA is filed under the name Vreelandella stevensii. RNAcentral's name for it is "partial 16S ribosomal RNA". It matches the Rfam family "Bacterial small subunit ribosomal RNA", at positions 338 to 795 of the family's 1533-position model. Lineage: Bacteria; Pseudomonadati; Pseudomonadota; Gammaproteobacteria; Oceanospirillales; Halomonadaceae. The record is from RNAcentral.